RNAcentral lists this ribosomal RNA (34 nucleotides) under Pratylenchus goodeyi. RNAcentral describes it as "partial 28S ribosomal RNA". Lineage: Eukaryota; Metazoa; Nematoda; Chromadorea; Rhabditida; Pratylenchidae. The record is from RNAcentral.
UCAGGUGUGAUUACCCGCUGAACCUUAAGCAUAU